UCUUGAGCAUAUGAAUGAUAUUGGAGCCGGGAAGCUCACAACGGCAUUAGCUGAAGAAGCGUUUUCUGAGAAUGUUCAUAUAGACUGGCCCAACACUAAGAUCUUAAAGCCAAUCUUUAAACAAUCUCAAGCUGUCACACAGGAAACUAUAGAGAUAUUAAUUAGAAGAUGUAGACAGAACAUACUAAAUGAGAGGCCUUUCACUGAAUUACCUCCAGCAUGGAAAUACCUGUUAAGUGAGACUUGAGCUUUGUAGCACAGAUAGCCAAUGUUUAAUUAUGUUAUUUUAUUAUAUUUUAGGUUAUGUUAAAUAUGGGUUUUA
This 322-nucleotide long non-coding RNA is filed under the name Androctonus crassicauda. Lineage: Eukaryota; Metazoa; Arthropoda; Arachnida; Scorpiones; Buthidae. The record is from RNAcentral.